CCUACGGGAGGCUGCAGUGGGGAAUAUUGCACAAUGGGCGCAAGCCUGAUGCAGCCAUGCCGCGUGUGUGAAGAUGGCCUUCGGGUUGUAAAGCACUUUCAGCGGGGAGGAAGGCGGUGAGGUUAAUAACCUCAUCGAUUGACGCUACCCGCAGAAGAAGCACCGGCUAACUCCGUGCCAGCAGCCGCGGUAAUACGGAGGGUGCAAGCGUUAAUCGGAAUUACUGGGCGUAAAGCGCACGCAGGCGGUCUGUCAAGUCGGAUGUGAAAUCCCCGGGCUCAACCUGGGAACUGCAUUCGAAACUGGCAGGCUAGAGUCUUGUAGAGGGGGGUAGAAUUCCAGGUGUAGCGGUGAAAUGCGUAGAGAUCUGGAGGAAUACCGGUGGCGAAGGCGGCCCCCUGGACAAAGACUGACGCUCAGGUGCGAAAGCGUGGGGAGCAAACAGGAUUAGAUACCCGAGUAGUC
RNAcentral lists this ribosomal RNA (465 nucleotides) under uncultured Klebsiella sp. Its description in RNAcentral is "bacterial SSU rRNA". It matches the Rfam family "Bacterial small subunit ribosomal RNA", at positions 338 to 795 of the family's 1533-position model. The record is from RNAcentral. Lineage: Bacteria; Pseudomonadati; Pseudomonadota; Gammaproteobacteria; Enterobacterales; Enterobacteriaceae.